GAUGAAGAACGUAGCGAAAUGCGAUACGUAGUGUGAAUUGCAGAAUUCAGUGAAUCAUCGAAUCUUUGAACGCACAUUGCGCCCUUUGGUAUUCCAACGGGCAUGCCUGUUCGAGCGUCAUUUGUACCCUCAAGCUUUGCUUGGUGUUGGGCGUCUUGUCUCCAGUCCGCUGGAGACUCGCCUUAAAGUCAUUGGCAGCCGGCCUACUGGUUUCGGAGCGCAGCACAAGUCGCACUCUUUUCCAGCCAAGGUCAGUGUCCAACAAGCCUUUUUUCAACUUUUGACCUCGGAUCAGGUAGGGAUACCCGCUGAACUUAAGCAUAUCAAUAAGCGGAGGA
This 338-nucleotide unclassified non-coding RNA is filed under the name soil metagenome. RNAcentral's name for it is "partial contains 5.8S ribosomal RNA, internal transcribed spacer 2, and large subunit ribosomal RNA". The stretch from base 1 to 120 matches the Rfam family "5.8S ribosomal RNA", at positions 35 to 154 of the family's 154-position model. The record is from RNAcentral.